This is a long non-coding RNA of Carya illinoinensis, 567 nucleotides long. RefSeq lists it as uncharacterized. The transcript is spliced from 4 exons. The record is from RefSeq and is a predicted model, not a curated record. NCBI's taxonomy places the organism in Eukaryota, Viridiplantae, Streptophyta, Magnoliopsida, Fagales, Juglandaceae.
UCUCUCUCUCUCUCUCUCUCUCUCUCUCUCUCUCUCUCUCACGAAAUCGCGAAAUAGUCUUUCUAUUCAAGCUCCGGCCGUUAUCUCUCUAUCUCGCUACCAUGUUUGUCUCACAGGCGACCUUUCGCCGAUUGGAGGGGGGGCAAGGAACAAAGAAGACACGAAGUGGAAGAAGACUAAAAUGGAUCUAUCGAGUUAGGAAGAUGAGGGUUGGACUAUUAAAUGGUUACUCAAAAAGCACUUCGGAUGAGAUUUGUUCAAAAAAUCACCUUUGACAAUCAUGGGAAGGCGGGGAGUGAAGUUACUCAUAUGGUCCUCAAAAUCCAAGUGUUUUUCCAGCCCAUAGAUUGCAAUCCCACAUUAGAGAUGGGUUUGAGUGGCUGCAGAGAAUAUACUAGGAAUUCAAUGUGGCGAAUGUCUCUAGUUUGGGUGGCUACAUAUAAUAGACUUGAAGUUGUUAUUUUGGUGUGAUUAAACCACUAAUGAAGGACUAUGUUGUUUAUAUGUAACUCUUAUCUUGUAAUUUUAUAUCUUGCAAUGUAAUGUAUAUAAUACAAAAUAAUGCAA